UGAACGCUGGCGGCGUGCUUAACACAUGCACGUCGAACGAAGCACUUUAUUUGAUUUCCUUCGGGACUGAUUAUUUUGUGACUGAGUGGCGGACGGGUGAGUAACGCGUGGGUAACCUGCCUUGUACAGGGGGAUAACAGUUGGAAACGGCUGCUAAUACCGCAUAAGCGCACGGCAUCGCAUGAUGCAGUGUGAAAAACUCCGGUGGUAUAAGAUGGACCCGCGUUGGAUUAGCUAGUUGGUGAGGUAACGGCCCACCAAGGCGACGAUCCAUAGCCGACCUGAGAGGGUGACCGGCCACAUUGGGACUGAGACACGGCCCAAACUCCUACGGGAGGCAGCAGUGGGGAAUAUUGCACAAUGGGCGAAAGCCUGAUGCAGCGACGCCGCGUGAGCGAAGAAGUAUUUCGGUAUGUAAAGCUCUAUCAGCAGGGAAGAUAAUGACGGUACCUGACUAAGAAGCACCGGCUAAAUACGUG
This 479-nucleotide ribosomal RNA is filed under the name uncultured bacterium. RNAcentral's name for it is "partial 16S ribosomal RNA". It matches the Rfam family "Bacterial small subunit ribosomal RNA", at positions 30 to 507 of the family's 1533-position model. The record is from RNAcentral.